This 333-nucleotide unclassified non-coding RNA is filed under the name uncultured fungus. Its description in RNAcentral is "partial contains 5.8S ribosomal RNA and internal transcribed spacer 2". The stretch from base 1 to 133 matches the Rfam family "5.8S ribosomal RNA", at positions 22 to 154 of the family's 154-position model. Lineage: Eukaryota; Fungi. The record is from RNAcentral.
UGGUUCUGGCAUCGAUGAAGAACGCAGCGAAAUGCGAUAAGUAGUGUGAAUUGCAGAAUUCCGUGAAUCAUCGAAUCUUUGAACGCACAUUGCGCCCUUUGGUAUUCCUUAGGGCAUGCCUGUUCGAGCGUCAUUCCAAACCCUCAAGCCCAGCUUGGUGAUGGGCGGACUGUCCCCGGCGCCCCAGAGCGCGGGGACCCGCCUCAAACUCAUUGGCGGCUGGCACACCGGCUUCGAUCGCAGCAGAAAGCGCCUCGGAGGACGACGUGUGCCCGGCUAUCCAGAAGCUAAACCCCACUGUUUGACCUCGGAUCAGGUAGGGAUACCCGCUGA